GCGGAUGUAGCUCAAUGGUAGAGUUUCUGGCUUCCAACCAGAAUGUUGCGAGUUCGAGUCUCGUCAUCCGCUCCA
Molecule: transfer RNA, 75 nt
Filed under: Corynebacterium phage C3PO
Lineage: Duplodnaviria; Heunggongvirae; Uroviricota; Caudoviricetes; Zierdtviridae
Also listed under: 7 other names
Description: tRNA-Gly
Rfam family: tRNA
About the family: Transfer RNA (tRNA) molecules are approximately 80 nucleotides in length. Their secondary structure includes four short double-helical elements and three loops (D, anti-codon, and T loops). Further hydrogen bonds mediate the characteristic L-shaped molecular structure. tRNAs have two regions of fundamental functional importance: the anti-codon, which is responsible for specific mRNA codon recognition, and the 3' end, to which the tRNAs corresponding amino acid is attached (by aminoacyl-tRNA synthetases). tRNAs cope with the degeneracy of the genetic code in two manners: having more than one tRNA (with a specific anti-codon) for a particular amino acid; and 'wobble' base-pairing, i.e. permitting non-standard base-pairing at the 3rd anti-codon position.
Source: RNAcentral